UCUGAAACUGCAGGUGGACAAAGGCUUUGGGAACCUCGUUUAGAUUCAGACAUUCAUCCUGCAUAGAGACGCUGACUCGAGAUUAAAGAACUAACUUCCCCCACUGGCUUGACUCUUCGGAUGUCAGUCUCCUAUUAUGUAUUUAUUUGUUCUUCAGUCAAACCAAAAAGGAUCUAACGCGGAACCCCUUUGCUCCAGAAAUGAACCCAUCGGAGUCUGGAGAGUGGAACCUGUGGUGUCUGGUUUCUCUCAACCCUGGUGAGAAGGCAUGGUGUGCUCGGCCGGAGAAAUGUGUAGAUAACGCCUCUAGAGUCUAGCUGGAUGAUGGAGUUUCCACAAAGCAAGCAGGAAAUAAGUGGACCCCUGGCAAAGAUAACGUCCAAGCGUCCUCUUCUGGGAGAGACUAGGAGUGUUUUUAAAUAGCAUGAUCACGGCCCACGGGAAUCUAAGAAACGGACACCAUUUUCUACCCUUUAAAACAAGAAGAAGAAACAAGGCAAAGUGUCUGGAGACCUUUCCCACGGUCACGUGGGAGGUGAGAGGCAAAUGGCUUUGGAAGCGUCAAAAGACCAAGAUGCAGGAUCUGAAUUCAGGGCUUGAGAAGAGAACUAUGUCAGUGUUACAGUAAACAUUCAAAUCCAACUUCCGGUUCAAAAACCCACCAGUCCCUGGAAAACUCGCCCCCUCCCCCACUCCAAGAAGCCCUAUAUAAGCCUGCCUCCCACUCGGUGGCCUGCUGCCUCUCACCCAGACAGAGGCAGCUGCCCUCUGUCUUUCCCAAUAGAUCGGUUGUGUGAGGUUUGCUGUGCAGUAUGACUUUGUGGUAUUCCUUGGAUACUGGGCUGCUAGGAUAACCAUUCACUUCAGACCUGCGACCCUUGUGUCUGGGGCAACUUUUCUCCUCAGAGCUGUAACACCCUUUUAUUCUGCAUGAAGAAAUGCUGUCAUGUAACACUGAACA
This is a long non-coding RNA of Apodemus sylvaticus (European woodmouse), 961 nucleotides long. RefSeq lists it as uncharacterized. The record is from RefSeq and is a predicted model, not a curated record. NCBI's taxonomy places the organism in Eukaryota, Metazoa, Chordata, Mammalia, Rodentia, Muridae. The transcript has 3 exons.